ACGGGUGAGUAACGCGUGGGAAUCUACCGUGCCCUGCGGAAUAGCUCCGGGAAACUGGAAUUAAUACCGCAUACGCCCUACGGGGGAAAGAUUUAUCGGGGUAUGAUGAGCCCGCGUUGGAUUAGCUAGUUGGUGGGGUAAAGGCCUACCAAGGCGACGAUCUAUAGCUGGUCUGAGAGGAUGAUCAGCCACAUUGGGACUGAGACACGGUCCACUCUCUACGGGAGGCAGCAGUGGGGAAUAUUGGACAAUGGGCGCAAGCCUGAUCCAGCCAUGCCGCGUGAGUGAUGAAGGCCUUAGGGUUGUAAAGCUCUUUCACCGGAGAAGAUAAUGACGGUAUCCGGAGAAGAAGCCCCGGCUAACUUCGUGCCAGCAGCCGCGGUAAUACGAAGGGGGCUAGCGUUGUUCGGAAUUACUGGGCGUAAAGCGCACGUAGGCGGAUAUUUAAGUCAGGGGUGAAAUCCCAGAGCUCAACUCUGGAACUGCCUUUGAUACUGGGUAUCUUGAGUAUGGAAGAGGUAAGUGGAAUUCCGAGUGUAGAGGUGAAAUUCGUAGA
Molecule: ribosomal RNA, 556 nt
Filed under: uncultured bacterium
Lineage: Bacteria
Description: bacterial SSU rRNA
Rfam family: Bacterial small subunit ribosomal RNA
Source: RNAcentral